Molecule: long non-coding RNA, 292 nt
Organism: Parus major (Great Tit)
Lineage: Eukaryota; Metazoa; Chordata; Aves; Passeriformes; Paridae
Source: Ensembl
CCCGGGUCCGCCUGCGCCUGCGCCCGGCCCCGAGCGGCGGCGUUGUGUGCGGCCAGUGCCCGUGAGGGGCUGCGCCCUCAGCGGCGCCGCCGGGGCGGGCCCGGCCGCACGGAGAGGCGCUGCGGGAACCGGGGCUGCAGGGCUACUACCGUCCCCCGGGCUGCGAGGAGUGAGAGACACGGAGAGUUUGUUUGCAGAAACAAGCUCGGAGGGACAAGUCGAGAGGCGGAAAAAGAAGUCUGAAAAUCUUUCAGAUAAGAAAAGUCUCAAAGGAACAGUCUGCUUUUGCUAA